This is a non-coding RNA of Peromyscus maniculatus bairdii (prairie deer mouse), 4324 nucleotides long. The record is from RefSeq and is a predicted model, not a curated record. Lineage: Eukaryota; Metazoa; Chordata; Mammalia; Rodentia; Cricetidae.
GCCAGCUGUCUCUGCCUACUCUCACAAGACUCCCAAAAGUUGCUUACGUCCUUCUCCCAUUUCUCAGGCUCCACCAAUGAGAGACACUGCAUAUCUGUCAUCUGGACACUUGGUCACCCACUUGGUGUGAUUCUCUCCAGAUGCAUGCAUGUUUCUGCAGACCAGAUGAUGUCAUUCUUCUUGGUGAAGGACAAUAAUCCUUUCAAGUCUGUUCCCCACACACUCUUUACUCGAUCUCUCUUCGCUGGAUACUUUCCUUGGUUAUAUCACUUAGCUCUUGUAAAUAAGGUUACAUCAUUAUUGAAGUAUCUGGCAUAUGUGGAUUCUCUGCCUUCAAGAACAUUGGGCAUGCAAGUGUUACUCAGAAAUCCAUGGAGAUAAAACUGAGAGGGGUAAAAUGCAAACUGAAAACAACGGCAGCAGAUUUGACGAAAACCAGAGCUGAAAACAUCAAAUACUCCAGGAGGUACUGACAGCCAAGCCAAAUAAAUUCCAGUGAAUCAAGAAACUGCCUGGAGCCCAGAGGCCAAGAUAAUUAAGGAUCUCACAUCUCAGGUGGUAGGAGGCUCCCACUCCCCAGGGCUUCUCCUUUCUGUGCUCUUGGUGUCCCGCGAUUCAUGGCCUCGAUCUGGACCAGGGUCAGUGCUGCUCUGCCUCAGGGACCGGUUCUAGGUCAGAGUCCUCCACUCUUGCUGGGGUCGAUGGUUGCUCGAGUCCCUCGUGGAAGGUCCGCGGAUUUCCGGCUCGCUGGAAGAGUCCGUCCUCCCAAAGGAUCCUUCCAAGUCACCCUGGAAACAUUAAAGCCACUGCUGGAGAUCAUCACCUCUGUCGGAGAAGAUCACUGCUAGGCCGGGAUAAAAAGGAAGAGGCCAAGGCCCAAGUUCUUCUGAGAAGACCAGAAGCAGAGGAGGUUCGGUCUCUGGCGCCACCGGGGCGGAAUCCCAGGCCUGCUUCACAGGCAGGGACUAGGAAGUCGGCUCCAUCCCUCCAACAGCCCUUGCACCUGGAGGUCAGCAGCCUGUGCACAGUGCAGGCAGCAGAUUCUUCUGCAGGCCCAGUCCCUGGGUAUUUGUAGUCUUCCAGGGGGAGGGGGAAGGGUUGGGGGAGGAAAAAUUGGUGAACUUGUGCGGGUUAAAACGUCUAUUGCCUAGAUCUUCAAGCACUUGGUCGCGUUAGAGCACUGGACGGUGUUUUGAGCACUUGACCUUUAUGGAGGACUUGGACGUGUUUCAGCACUGGACGAUGUUCCUGCACUUGGUCGUGGUCCUGUUCCAGUACUUGACCGUCAUCCAGCACUUGACCUUCAUGGGUCGUGUUGGAGCACUGGGCGGUGUUUGGAGCACUUGGUGGUGAACAAACACUUGGUCGUUUUCGUGUUUGAGUACUGGACCGUCAUUAACAUUUGAACCUGUUCGAGCACUUGGUGGUGUUCCAGCACUUGGUCCUGUUCCAGCACUGGACAGUGUUUGAGCACUUGACCGUUAUCCGCACAUGAUCGGUAUGGAGCACUUGGUCGGGUUAGAGCGCUGGACGGUGUUCCAGCACUUAACCGUCAUGGAGUACUUGGUCCUGUUCCAGUACAAGACCGCGCUCAAGCCCUGGGCCGUGUUGUACCCGAAAAACGUUGACAAAACGAAACGGAAGCAGAGGCUACGGAGAUUCGUUCGUCCAUACACGGAAUUCGUCCUCUUUCAGGAAGCCGGUGUCUGAUGUCUUGGGACAUUUGCUCAGGGGGAAAACUUGCAUCGGUUCGAAAUCCGUAAAAACAGAAAUCGGACGAACUUCCAGCGUUAGAAAAGACAACGACCAAACGAAGGGGACCCGAAAACGAAUGGAAACUGCAGCCUCCUCACCGCAACUGGGAGUCGAAAGGCGCCUUAGGGCCUGUGGCAUAACCGCCCAGUGGCGCAGACUCUGUGGUGUGAGAGAGAUGCACCGAGGCCUGCGGUGUCCGGUGUCUUGCCCUGAUGGCCAGAGGGCUAAGGAUUAGGAAUCAGUGCUGCACUUGAGCCUUAGACCGUCAUGGAGCACUUGGUUGUGUUUGAGUGGACCGGGCUCCAGCCCUGGCCCGUGCUGUACCCUAAAACCCUUAAGAAAACCAAAGGAAAGCGGUGGCUACGAAGAUUCUGUUGUCCAUACACCGAAUUCGUCCUCUUUCAGGAAGCUGGGGUCGGAUAUCUUGGGACACUUGUCCGGAGAAAACCUGACUUGGAGAUGGCAGUAGACCCUGAAUCCGCUAACGGGGGGGGAGGGGGGGAUCCAAGUUUCAGCGAUUAGAAACUUAGAGGAAAAAGAACGAAAACCGCAGCGUCUAACUCAGUCGGGUGAACACGCGCACCAUGGCGCCAAACGUUUCCUCCAAGGUUUCCCUCACGCGAAAUGGGUUCGUGGUUAGUGUCGAAUGUGGCCACAUCCUGCCUGGCUGAGCCGAAUUCCGCCUGCAAAGCCAAAGAACCGAGGCACAAAAUCACAGACACGGUUUGAGAUCGCGUUCGGUCGGAUUGCAGCCCGGCCUGCUGACAGUCGAACCAAUAUUGGCUGCCUGGACGAAUCGAGGGCACCCCACCCACCCUGUCCUCGUGAAGGCUGGUGGACUAACCUCGGUGGUCCCCACACCAGCUUCUCCACCAAGCCUAGAAACAGCGCCCCCAGAGUGUCACCAAGUAGCUUUGAAAGCUGGCGCUUGCAGCCCAUUAAAUUAAUUACCUUUGGAAUCAUUUAUUAAGCAAGCAAGAAUUGACACUGACCAUAUGAGGCACGUGGAUGUAGGAAUUUAUCUUGGAAGCAGCCGGCGGCCCAGAAGACUUCGGGCUGCGAGGAAGGAAGAGGUUUUGGCUGGCAUUCUCUUGGCACAGAGCGCACUCUAAAACGCUGAAAGGCGCCUGCAGCUCCCUAAGGCUCCCUGCUGCCACGUUCCGGUUUGCAGCAGCCACGUGGCACGCAGCAGUGGAACACGCAACGAAUGCGCCGCCAGAGGGCGCACAAAACCCGCGAUCCUCCCCUCAGGUCUCCAGUGGUGGGCGGGUGACACUCCCCAGGGCUUCUCCUCUCCGUGGUCUCGGUGUCCCGCGAUUCCUGGCCACGGUGGGGCGCUCUGGACCAGGGCCGAGGCUGCUCCGCCUCUGGGAAAGGUUCUAGGUCGGAGUCCUCCACGCUUGCCGGGGUCGAGGUUUGGUCGAGUCCCUCGUGGAAGGCCCGCGGAUUUCAGGCUCGCUGGAAGACUCGGUCCUCUCAAAUGACUCCUUCGAAGUCACCCUGGAGACAUGGAAGCGGUUGCUCGAGAUCGUCACCUCUGUCGGACAGGAUCACUCCUAGGACCGGAAAGGAAGAGGACAAGGCCCACGUUCUUCCGAGAAGACGGGGAGCAGAGGUUCGGUCUCUGGCGCCACCGGGGGGGAAUCCCAGGCCUGCUUCACGUGCACGGACCAGAAAGUCGGCUCCAUCGCUCUUGCAGCACCUGCAGCAGGAGGUCAGAAGCCUGUGCACAGUGCGGGCUGCAGAUUCUUCUGCAGGCUCAGGCCCUGGGUAUUUGUAGUCCUCCAGGGGGGCGGGGACGGAAAAAUUGGUAAACUUGGCCAUCUUAAAACGUCUAUUGCCUGGAUCUUCAAGCACUUGGUCGUAUUCGAGCACUUGGUCAUACUCGGGGCACUUGGUCGCGUUAGAGCACUGGGCGGUUUUUGAGCACUUGACCUUUAUCCAGCACUUGGACGUGUUUCAGCACUGGACGCUGCUCCUGCACACGGUCGUGGUCGUGUUCGAGCACUUGACCAUCUUCCAGCACUUGAACUCCAUGGGUCGUGUUGGAGCACUGGACGGUGUUUCGAGACCUUGGUCCUGAUCGAGCACUUGGUCGUUUUCAUGUCGGCGCACUGGACCGUCAUCGGGCAUUUGAACCUGUUCCAGCACUUGCUGGUGUUCCAGCACUUGGUCCUGUGUCAGCACUGGACAGUGUUUGAGCACUUGACCGUCAUGCGCACAUGAACGGUCGAGCACCAGGUCGCGUUAGAGCGCUGGACGGUGUUCCAGCCUUAACCUUCAUCAAGCACUUGGUCAUGUUGGAGCCCUGGACCGCGCUCGAGCCCUAGACCCUGCUCUACCAGAAAACGGUUGACAAAACGAAAGGAAAGCAGAGGCUACGGAGAUUCGGUCGUUCAUCCACCGAAUUCGUCCUCUUACAGGAGGAGGCCGCGGUCCGUUGUCUUGGGACACUUGUCGGGAGAAAACGUGCCUUGGCCGAUGGCAGUCAGCACUGAAUCCGUGAACUUAAAAAAAAAAACAGCGAUUAGAAACCGCGGAGAACGGAGCAUAGAGGAAAAAGAACGGA